UUAACGGUAAGUUUACUUACCGCUUAGCAUCGAGUGUUAAAUAUGCUAGUCCUUUCAUGAUUAUGUGAUAGGUGGUGCAUGGCCGUUCUUAGUUCGUGGAGUGAUCUGUCUGCUUAAUUGCGUUUCACUAAGGGCCCAUAAAUUCAAGGUAUGUUAGCUCUCGUCGCUCUAUGGACCCCUUAACUCCAAUAUUCUUAUUGUGUUAAGCGCGUGUCUUUAUUUUAAGAGUUUUAAGACACUGCGCAUG
This 247-nucleotide ribosomal RNA is filed under the name Neogloboquadrina pachyderma. RNAcentral's name for it is "partial small subunit ribosomal RNA". Lineage: Eukaryota; Foraminifera; Rotaliida; Globorotaliidae. The record is from RNAcentral.